UACGUAGGCAGCAAGCGUUGUUCGGAGUUACUGGGCGUAAAGGGUGUGUAGGCGGUUCCCUAAGUUUGGUGUGAAAUCUCCCGGCUUAACCGGGAGGGUGCGCCGAAAACUGGGGAGCUAGAGUGUGGGAGAGGAAAGUGGAAUUCCUGGUGUAGCGGUGAAAUGCGUAGAUAUCAGGAGGAACACCUGCGGUGUAGACGGCUUUCUGGACCAUAACUGACGCUGAGACACGAAAGCGUGGGUAG
Molecule: ribosomal RNA, 245 nt
Filed under: uncultured bacterium
Lineage: Bacteria
Description: partial 16S ribosomal RNA
Rfam family: Bacterial small subunit ribosomal RNA
Source: RNAcentral